GGAUCAUUACACAAUAAAAUACGAAGGCCGUUCGCGGCUGGACUAUUUAUUACCCUUGUCUUUUGCGCACUUGUUGUUUCCUGGGCGGGUUCGCUCGCCACCAGGACCACAAUAUAAACCUUUUUUAUGCAGUUGCAAUCAGCGUCAGUAUAACAAAUGUAAAUCAUUUACAACUUUCAACAACGGAUCUCUUGGUUCUGGCAUCGAUGAAGAACGCAGCGAAAUGCGAUACGUAGUGUGAAUUGCAGAAUUCAGUGAAUCAUCGAAUCUUUGAACGCACAUUGCGCCCUUUGGUAUUCCAAAGGGCAUGCCUGUUCGAGCGUCAUUUGUACCCUCAAGCUUUGCUUGGUGUUGGGCGUUUUUGUCCCCCCCAAAAGGGGGACUCGCCUUAAAAGGAUUGGCAGCCGGCCUACUGGUUUCGCAGCGCAGCACAUUUUUGCGCUUGCAAUCAGCAAAAGAGGACGGCAAUCCAUCAAGACUCCUUCUCACGUUUGACCUCGGAUCAGGUAGGGAUACCCGCUGAACUUAAGCAUAUCAAUAAGCGGAGGAAAAGAAACCAACAGGGAUUGCCCUAGUAACGGCGAGUGAAGCGGCAACAGCUCAAAUUUGAAAUCUGGCUCUUUCAGAGUCCGAGUUGUAAUUUGCAGAGGGCGCUUUGGCUUUGGCAGCGGUCCAAGUUCCUUGGAACAGGACGUCACAGAGGGUGAGAAUCCCGUACGUGGUCGCUAGCUAUUGCCGUGUAAAGCCCCUUCGACGAGUCGAGUUGUUUGGGAAUGCAGCUCUAAAUGGGAGGUAAAUUUCUUCUAAAGCUAA
RNAcentral lists this small RNA (813 nucleotides) under Curvularia hawaiiensis. Its description in RNAcentral is "eukaryotic LSU rRNA". The stretch from base 493 to 813 matches the Rfam family "Eukaryotic large subunit ribosomal RNA", at positions 1 to 319 of the family's 3401-position model. Lineage: Eukaryota; Fungi; Ascomycota; Dothideomycetes; Pleosporales; Pleosporaceae. The record is from RNAcentral.